GAUGAACGCUAGCUACAGGCUUAACACAUGCAAGUCGCGGGGCAGCAUGGGGGUUGCUUGCAAUCCCCGAUGGCGACCGGCGCACGGGUGAGUAACGCGUAUCCAACCUGCCCUUCACCACGGGAUAACCCGGCGAAAGUCGGACUAAUACCGUAUGUUGUCCAUUGACGGCAUCCGAUUUGGACGAAAGGUUUGGCGGUGAGGGAUGGGGAGGGGUCCGAUUAGGUGGUCGGCGGGGUGGCGGCCGGCCGGGGGGACGGUCGGUAGGGGUUCUGAGAGGAAGGUCCCCCACACUGGAACUGAGACACGGUCCAGACUCCUACGGGAGGCAGCAGUGAGGAAUAGUGGUCAAUGGGCGUAAGCCUGAACCAGCCAAGUAGCGUGCAGGAUGACGGCCCUAUGGGUUGUAAACUGCUUUUAUGCGGGGAUAAAGUGGCCCACGUGUGGGUUUUUGCAGGUACCGCAUGAAUAAGGACCGGCUAAUUCCGU
RNAcentral lists this ribosomal RNA (489 nucleotides) under uncultured bacterium. RNAcentral's name for it is "partial 16S ribosomal RNA". It matches the Rfam family "Bacterial small subunit ribosomal RNA", at positions 28 to 506 of the family's 1533-position model. The record is from RNAcentral.